Molecule: ribosomal RNA, 637 nt
Filed under: uncultured bacterium
Lineage: Bacteria
Description: bacterial SSU rRNA
Rfam family: Bacterial small subunit ribosomal RNA
Source: RNAcentral
GACGAACGCUGGCGGCGUGCUUAACACAUGCAAGUCGAACGGUAAGGCCCCUUCGGGGGUACACGAGUGGCGAACGGGUGAGUAACACGUGAGCAACCUGCCCUUGACUCUGGAAUAACAGUUGGAAACAGCUGCUAAUACUGGAUAUUCACGGUCCUCCUCCUGGGGGGUGGUGGAAAGCUCCGGCGGUCAGGGAUGGGCUCGCGGCCUAUCAGCUUGUUGGUGAGGUAAUGGCUCACCAAGGCUUCGACGGGUAGCCGGCCUGAGAGGGCGACCGGCCACACUGGGACUGAGAUACGGCCCAGACUCCUACGGGAGGCAGCAGUGGGGAAUAUUGCACAAUGGGCGCAAGCCUGAUGCAGCAACGCCGCGUGCGGGAUGACGGCCUUCGGGUUGUAAACCGCUUUCACCUGUGACGAAGCUAACGUGACGGUAGCAGGAGAAGAAGGACCGGCUAACUACGUGCCAGCAGCCGCGGUGAUACGUAGGGUCCGAGCGUUGUCCGGAAUUAUUGGGCGUAAAGGGCUUGUAKGCGGUUCGUCGCGUCGGGAGUGAAAACUCAGGGCUUAACCCUGAGCCUGCUUUUGAUACGGGCGGACUAGAGGGAUGCAGGGGAGAACGGAAUUUCCUGGUGGAG